Molecule: small nuclear RNA, 108 nt
Filed under: Colobus angolensis palliatus
Lineage: Eukaryota; Metazoa; Chordata; Mammalia; Primates; Cercopithecidae
Source: RNAcentral
GUGCUUGCUUCAGCAGCACAUAUACAAAAACUGGAACGAUACCAAGAAGAUUAGCAUGACCCCUGCACAAGGAAUGACACACAAAUUCAUGAAGCGUUAAAAUUAAAG